AACGCUAGCUACAGGCUUAACACAUGCAAGUCGAGGGGCAGCAUGGUCUUAGCUUGCUAAGGCCGAUGGCGACCGGCGCACGGGUGAGUAACACGUAUCCAACCUGCCGUCUACUCUUGGACAGCCUUCUGAAAGGAAGAUUAAUACAAGAUGGCAUCAUGAGUCCGCAUGUUCACAUGAUUAAAGGUAUUCCGGUAGACGAUGGGGAUGCGUUCCAUUAGAUAGUAGGCGGGGUAACGGCCCACCUAGUCUUCGAUGGAUAGGGGUUCUGAGAGGAAGGUCCCCCACAUUGGAACUGAGACACGGUCCAAACUCCUACGGGAGGCAGCAGUGAGGAAUAUUGGUCAAUGGGCGAGAGCCUGAACCAGCCAAGUAGCGUGAAGGAUGACUGCCCUAUGGGUUGUAAACUUCUUUUAUAAAGGAAUAAAGUCGGGUAUGGAUACCCGUUUGCAUGUACUUUAUGAAUAAGGAUCGGCUAACUCCGUGCCAGCAGCCGCGGUAAUACGGAGGAUCCGAGCGUUAUCCGGAUUUAUUGGGUUUAAAGGGAGCGUAGAUGGAUGUUUAAGUCGGUUGUGAAAGUUUGCGGCUCAACCGUAAAAUUGCAGUUGAUACUGGAUAUCUUGAGUGCAGUUGAGGCAGGCGGAAUUCGUGGUGUAGCGGUGAAAUGCUUAGAUAUCACGAAGAACUCCGAUUG
Molecule: ribosomal RNA, 694 nt
Filed under: uncultured bacterium
Lineage: Bacteria
Description: bacterial SSU rRNA
Rfam family: Bacterial small subunit ribosomal RNA
Source: RNAcentral